This 401-nucleotide non-coding RNA is filed under the name Antrostomus carolinensis (chuck-will's-widow). Its description in RNAcentral is "Caprimulgus carolinensis (chuck-will's-widow) Eukaryotic small subunit ribosomal RNA". It matches the Rfam family "Eukaryotic small subunit ribosomal RNA", at positions 631 to 980 of the family's 1831-position model. The record is from Rfam by way of RNAcentral. Lineage: Eukaryota; Metazoa; Chordata; Aves; Caprimulgiformes; Caprimulgidae.
UAGUUAGAACAAGGUCAAUCAGGGAAACUGUAAGAAAAAGCUGUUGGCCAGACUGUCCUUUCUGCUAGAAUAGCCUCUACCGAAAAUAGUACUGCUACUACCACCACUUAAAAACACCAAACCAAUAAAACCCAACACUUCAGAGUGCACUCAUUGAGAAGCUUGAUACAUUUUUAUGAAGAAAUCAAAUGGUUCAAAGCUGGCUGGCCAGAAGUGCACUUCAGCCAGGAAUAACAGAUUAGGGCUCUGGCUCUUUUUUUUUGUUUUUUAUGGAAGCAGAGCAAUGAUUAAGAGCAAUGGCUGGAGGAAUUCUUGUUGUGUCACUUGAACUGAAUUUCUUGGACAGUGGUGCAAAAUGAACUAAAGCAAAAGCAUUUGCCAAGAAUGUGUUCAGUAAUCAA